This 119-nucleotide ribosomal RNA is filed under the name Pteropus alecto (black flying fox). Lineage: Eukaryota; Metazoa; Chordata; Mammalia; Chiroptera; Pteropodidae. The record is from RNAcentral.
GUCUAUGGCCAUGCCAUCCUGAACAAGCCCGAUCCUGUCUGAUCUUGGAAGCUAAGCAGGGUCAGGCCUGGUUAGUACUUGGAUGAGAGAUCACUUAGGAAGACCAGGUGCUGUAGGCA